RNAcentral lists this ribosomal RNA (448 nucleotides) under uncultured bacterium. Its description in RNAcentral is "bacterial SSU rRNA". It matches the Rfam family "Bacterial small subunit ribosomal RNA", at positions 29 to 521 of the family's 1533-position model. The record is from RNAcentral.
AAUGAACGCUGGCGGCAGGCCUAACACAUGCAAGUCGAACGGAUCCUUCGGGAUUAGUGGCGGACGGGUGAGUAACGCGUGGGAACGUACCCCUUUCUUCGGAAUAGCCUCGGGAAACUGGGAGUAAUACCGGAUAAGCCCUAUUGGGGAAAGAUUUAUCGGGAAGGGAUCGGCCCGCGUUGGAUUAGGUAGUUGGUGGGGUAAUGGCCUACCAAGCCGACGAUCCAUAGCUGGUUUGAGAGGAUGAUCAGCCACACUGGGACUGAGACACGGCCCAGACUCCUACGGGAGGCAGCAGUGGGGAAUCUUAGACAAUGGGGGAAACCCUGAUCUAGCCAUGCCGCGUGAUCGAUGAAGGCCUUAGGGUUGUAAAGAUCUUUCAGUGGGGGAAGAUAAUGACGGUACCCACAGAAGAAGCCCCGGCUAACUCCGUGCCAGCAGCCGCGGU